RNAcentral lists this ribosomal RNA (474 nucleotides) under uncultured bacterium. Its description in RNAcentral is "partial 16S ribosomal RNA". It matches the Rfam family "Bacterial small subunit ribosomal RNA", at positions 28 to 507 of the family's 1533-position model. The record is from RNAcentral.
GACGAACGCUGGCGGCGUGCUUAACACAUGCAAGUCGAGCGGUAAGGCUCCUUCGGGAGUACACGAGCGGCAAACGGGUGAGUAACACGUGAGUAAUCUGCCCUUCACUUCGGGAUAACCACCGGAAACGGUGGCUAAUACCGAAUACGACCAGUCUUCGCAUGAGGUGCUGGUGGAAAGUCUUUUCGGUGAAGGAUGUGCUCGCGGCCUAUCAGCUUGUUGGUGGGGUAAUGGCCUACCAAGGCUUCGACGGGUAGCCGGCCUGAGAGGGUGACCGGCCACACUGGGACUGAGACACGGCCCAGACUCCUACGGGAGGCAGCAGUGGGGAAUAUUGGACAAUGGGCGAAAGCCUGAUCCAGCAACGCCGCGUGAGGGAUGACGGCCUUCGGGUUGUAAACCUCUUUCAGUACCGACGAAGCGCCCUGUCGGGUGGUGACGGUAGGUACAGAAGAAGGACCGGCCAACUACGUG